GGCUUAGAGUUUGAUCAUGGCUCAGGAUGAACGCUGGCGGCGUGCCUAACACAUGCAAGUCGAGCGAAGCACUUUACUUUGAGAUCUUCGGAAGGAUAAGUUUUGUGACUGAGCGGCGGACGGGUGAGUAACGCGUGGGCAACCUGCCUCACACAGGGGGAUAACAGUUAGAAAUGACUGCUAAUACCGCAUAAGGCCACAGCACCGCAUGGUGCAGGGGUAAAAACUCCGGUGGUGUGAGAUGGGCCCGCGUCUGAUUAGCUAGUUGGUAAGGUAACGGCUUACCAAGGCGACGAUCAGUAGCCGACCUGAGAGGGUGACCGGCCACAUUGGGACUGAGACACGGCCCAAACUCCUACGGGAGGCAGCAGUGGGGAAUAUUGCACAAUGGGGGAAACCCUGAUGCAGCGACGCCGCGUGAGCGAAGAAGUAUUUCGGUAUGUAAAGCUCUAUCAGCAGGGAAGAAACUGACGGUACCUGACUAAGAAGCACCGGCUAAAUACGUGCCAGCAGCCGCGGUAAUACGUAUGGUGCAAGCGUUAUCCGGAUUUACUGGGUGUAAAGGGAGCGUAGACGGAUAGGCAAGUCUGGAGUGGAAGCCCGGGGCUCAACCCCGGGACUGCUUUGGAAACUGUUUAUCUAGAGUGUUGGAGAGGUAAGUG
RNAcentral lists this ribosomal RNA (662 nucleotides) under uncultured organism. RNAcentral describes it as "bacterial SSU rRNA". It matches the Rfam family "Bacterial small subunit ribosomal RNA", at positions 1 to 663 of the family's 1533-position model. The record is from RNAcentral.